RNAcentral lists this ribosomal RNA (429 nucleotides) under bacterium. RNAcentral's name for it is "partial 16S ribosomal RNA". It matches the Rfam family "Bacterial small subunit ribosomal RNA", at positions 355 to 776 of the family's 1533-position model. The record is from RNAcentral.
UAGGGAAUCUUCCACAAUGGACGCAAGUCUGAUGGAGCAACGCCGCGUGAGUGAAGAAGGUUUUCGGAUCGUAAAGCUCUGUUGUUGGUGAAGAAGGAUAGAGGCAGUAACUGGUCUUUAUUUGACGGUAAUCAACCAGAAAGUCACGGCUAACUACGUGCCAGCAGCCGCGGUAAUACGUAGGUGGCAAGCGUUGUCCGGAUUUAUUGGGCGUAAAGCGAGCGCAAGCGGAAUGAUAAGUCUGAUGUGAAAGCCCACGGCUCAACCGUGGAACUGCAUCGGAAACUGUCAUUCUUGAGUGCAGAAGAGGAGAGUGGAAUUCCAUGUGUAGCGGUGGAAUGCGUAGAUAUAUGGAAGAACACCAGUGGCGAAGGCGGCUAUCUGGUCUGCAACUGACGCUGAGGCUCGAAAGCAUGGGUAGCGAACAGG